CCUACAGGUGGCAGCAGUGAGGAAUAUUGCACAAUGGGCGAAAGCCUGAUGCAGCAACGCCGCGUGAGCGAUGAAGGCCUUCGGGUCGUAAAGCUCUGUCCUCAAGGAAGAUAAUGACGGUACUUGAGGAGGAAGCCCCGGCUAACUACGUGCCAGCAGCCGCGGUAAUACGUAGGGGGCUAGCGUUAUCCGGAUUUACUGGGCGUAAAGGGUGCGUAGGUGGUUUCUUAAGUCAGAGGUGAAAGGCUACGGCCAAACCGUAGAAAGCCUUUGAAACUGGUGAACUUGAGUACAGGAGAGGAGAGUGGAAUUCCUAGUGUAGCGGUGAAAUGCGUAGAUAUUAGGAGGAACACCAGUUGCGAAGGCGGCUUUCUGGACUGUAACUGACACUGAGGCACGAAAGCGUGGGGAGCAAACAGGAUUAGAUACCCUUGUAGUC
Molecule: ribosomal RNA, 439 nt
Filed under: uncultured bacterium
Lineage: Bacteria
Description: partial 16S ribosomal RNA
Rfam family: Bacterial small subunit ribosomal RNA
Source: RNAcentral